GUAUGUCUUUAUGGCGCCUUUUAAUUGAACUGCAUAUGUGUGUGUGUGUGUGUGAGUGUGUGUGUCAAGCCAAGCUCUCUCUUUUGCCAACUCUCACGUUCUCUUUCCCCAUGUAAAUUGGCGCUCCUGUUCGCGUGGCAAUGAACGAUCGUAUUUCAUAUAUAGUUGUUGUUGUUGUAUUUCAACACGUGUAGAUUGAUAUCGUCUGAUAACUAAGCUCUCUCAAUGGCUCUCAAAGAGGCUCUCUUAGACUCUCAUAUAGCAUACACAGAAAAACACAAUAGGGGCAGUUAAAUAAAUUAUUUAUUAAAAAAAAGAGAUGUAUUUUGUAAAGAUUACUAAUAUUAUAAUUAUUAAUAAUAAUUGAAAUUAUUAAAUAAGAAAUAAAUAAUUUUUCUCUGUGUAUCACUAAUUACACACCCAUACAGUUGCACUCUCCUGACUGAUACACUAACACACACUCAGAUUACACCGCAGACCGCAAUACAUUUGUAUGACAUAAUAUUAAUUUUUGUCGUCGACGCCGACGCCAACGCUGACGUUAACGGUGGCGGCGGCGCGACGGCUCCCCCAUUUCAUUUCAAGCCGCAGUCUACCCUUCUGGACGUAUCUCCUCCCAUUCCACCCCAUAACGAGCUCGGAUUCGGAUUCACAAUGGGGAUCCCAGGGCGUGGAAGUUAUUGCAAAUUGACGUAACGGUAUUGCAAAUUGAGGAAGAGCGAAGGGGAGGUGGGACUGGAUUUUAAUAAACAGAAGUCGGAGCAAGCCGGCACAUAAUAUGUUUAUAUUUUCCCAGAAGGGAAGGGGGAAAAUUGCUGUGGUCAGCACCUGUGUUACUAAAAUAAAAAUAUGUAUCUUUGAGAUUGUUUUUACCUCAAUCGGAAUUGUUAAAAAAUUAUUAUAAAAUAUUGAAUAUAUUAAUAAAUAGAAAUAUUCUUCCAA
Long non-coding RNA from Drosophila ananassae, 942 nucleotides. RefSeq lists it as uncharacterized. The record is from RefSeq and is a predicted model, not a curated record. NCBI's taxonomy places the organism in Eukaryota, Metazoa, Arthropoda, Insecta, Diptera, Drosophilidae. The transcript is spliced from 2 exons.